Molecule: long non-coding RNA, 205 nt
Filed under: Ananas comosus (pineapple)
Lineage: Eukaryota; Viridiplantae; Streptophyta; Magnoliopsida; Poales; Bromeliaceae
Description: long non-coding RNA (ACOM_LNC027051)
Source: RNAcentral
CACAAUUUUUCUAGUUCCACCUUAUACUCACAUUUUCAUCCAAACAACAAAUUACUCUUGUUCUUACAAAAAUUCAUACUUAUGCAUAUCCCCGGUAUACUAGUUCUUACUUAUAUCCGAACCAAACGAAGCCUUCGAGUUUCAUUUUUUAUAUCCAUAAUCAAAAUAAUUGCCGUUUAGCACCGAUUAAACAUGCCUUUAUUCG